UGGAAGUAAAAGUCGUAACAAGGUUUCCGUAGGUGAACCUGCGGAAGGAUCAUUAAUAAAUGGUCUACGUUUUUUAAGUAGACGCUUAAUAAUCCUACCCUCUGUGAAUUUGUUUGUUUGAAAUAAUUUUUUUAAAAUUAUUGAAUGUCUUUCCCUGUUGAAUUGGUUGUCUUUAAUGGCAAGUGAUUCGCAGGGGAGUGUCAAUAAUUUUUAAAAAGACCUUUUUUAAAAUUAAACUUUUUGUAUUCAUUUGUCUAAAAAUUAUUUUUAUAAUAUAAAAACAACUUUUGACAAUGGAUCUCUUGGUUCUCGCAACGAUGAAGAACGCAGCAAAAUGCGAUAAGUAGUGUGAAUUGCAGAAUACGUGAAUCAUCGAAUCUUCGAACGCAUAUUGCACUUUUUUAGUUUACUAAAAAAGUAUGUCUGUUUGAGUAUCAGUAAAAUAUUCUCAUAAAAACUUUUUGUUUUUAUGGUUAUGAGUGUUUUACAACGAUACAAGUUGUUUCACUUUAAAUUUUUUUAAAAUUUGAAUUUUUCUAAUUUUAAAAUAAAAUUGGAUAAAAUUUUCCCGUAAAAGGAAUAACCUAAACAAUUUUAAUUUUUGAUUAGAAUUCUUCAUUCUAAAGGAAAAUUUAACUAAAUAACUUGAUCUCAAAUCAGAUAAGAGUACCCGCUGAACUUAAGCAUAUCAAUAAGCGGAGGAAAAGAAACUAACAAGGAUUCCCUUAGUAACGGCGAGUGAAGCGGGAAGAGCUCAAAUUUGAAAUCUUCAAGGUUUUACCUUGACGAAUUGUAGUUUAAAGAAGUGUUUUCUGUUGAAGUUUUGGUAAAAGUUCUUUGGAAUAGGACAUCAUAGAGGGUGAGAAUCCCGUAUUUGACCAUUAUUUUCAGCUGUGUGAUACACUUUCAAAGAGUCGGAUUGUUUGGGAAUGCAGUCCAAAAUGGGUGGUAAAUUUCAUCUAAAGCUAAAUAUUGGCGAGAGACCGAUAGCGAACAAGUACCGUGAGGGAAAGAUGAAAAGAACUUUGAAAAGAGAGUUAAACAGUACGUGAAAUUGUCAAAAGGGAAGCGUUUGACACCAGUGUUGUUUUCUCGAAAAUCAAUUAAAAAGAGUUGGAUUUUGUGUUGUAUUGACCUUAACAGCUUGCUUCACUCUUUUCCAGCUUUUUUUAAUGCACUUUUCGUUUAACAAGUCAACAUCAGUUUCUUUUGUUGUAAAAGGGUCAUUGGAAGGUGGCUUUCUCUUCGGAGAAAGUGUUUAUAGCCUUUGAUCUCUGCAAUCGGAGAGACUGAGGUCUGCAGCGUGAUCCUUCGGGUUAGAUACAUUUGUGCUAAGCUACAGCUUUUCAUAGACAACUUGUUGACUAUGUUUAGUCUUGUGACUUACCCGCUUAUGCUAUUUUACCUA
Molecule: unclassified non-coding RNA, 1408 nt
Filed under: uncultured Neocallimastigales
Lineage: Eukaryota; Fungi; Neocallimastigomycota; Neocallimastigomycetes; Neocallimastigales
Description: partial contains small subunit ribosomal RNA, internal transcribed spacer 1, 5.8S ribosomal RNA, internal transcribed spacer 2, and large subunit ribosomal RNA
Rfam family: Eukaryotic large subunit ribosomal RNA (bases 647-1408)
Source: RNAcentral